Molecule: ribosomal RNA, 403 nt
Filed under: uncultured bacterium
Lineage: Bacteria
Description: bacterial SSU rRNA
Rfam family: Bacterial small subunit ribosomal RNA
Source: RNAcentral
GGGGAAUCUUCCGCAAUGGGCGAAAGCCUGACGGAGCAACGCCGCGUGAGGGAAGAAGGUUUUCGGAUUGUAAACCUCUGUCCUAAGGGAAGAAGGAAGUGACGGUACCUUAGGAGGAAGCCCCGGCUAACUACGUGCCAGCAGCCGCGGUAAAACGUAGGGGGCGAGCGUUGUCCGGAAUUACUGGGCGUAAAGGGCGCGUAGGUGGUGCAUUAAGUUAUAGGUGAAAGUGCGGGGCUUAACCCCGUGACUGCCUGUGAUACUGGUGUACUUGAGUGCAGGAGAGGGGAGCAGAAUUCCCAGUGUAGCGGUGAAAUGCGUAGAUAUUGGGAGGAAUACCAGCGGCGAAGGCGGCUCUCUGGACUGUAACUGACACUGAGGCGCGAAAGCGUGGGGAGCGAAC